GACGAACGCUGGCGGCGUGCUUAACACAUGCAAGUCGAACGAAGUGGCGAACGGGUGAGUAACGCGUAAUCAACCUGCCCUUCAGAGGGGGACAACAGUUGGAAACGACUGCUAAUACCGCAUACUGAAGGAGGGGAUUGCGUCUGAUUAGCUAGUUGGAGGGGUAACGGCCCACCAAGGCGAUGAUGGGUAGCCUGCCGGGGAUGGUGAUCGGCCCAAAGGGGAAUGAGACACGGCCCUGAGGCCUACGUGAGGCAGGAGGGGGGAAUGUGGGAGAAUGGACCAAAGUCGGAGCCAGCAAUUCUGUGUGAACGAUGAAGUUUUUCGGAAUGAAGAGUGCUUUCAGUUUGGAAGCGGUACCAACAGAAGAAGCGACGGCUAAAUACGUGCCAGCAGCCGCGGUAAUUC
RNAcentral lists this ribosomal RNA (408 nucleotides) under uncultured bacterium. Its description in RNAcentral is "partial 16S ribosomal RNA". It matches the Rfam family "Bacterial small subunit ribosomal RNA", at positions 28 to 526 of the family's 1533-position model. The record is from RNAcentral.